This 491-nucleotide ribosomal RNA is filed under the name uncultured bacterium. RNAcentral describes it as "partial 16S ribosomal RNA". It matches the Rfam family "Bacterial small subunit ribosomal RNA", at positions 29 to 507 of the family's 1533-position model. The record is from RNAcentral.
AGUGAACGCUGGCGGUAGGCCUAACACAUGCAAGUCGAACGGCAGCACAGUAAGAGCUUGCUCUUACGGGUGGCGAGUGGCGGACGGGUGAGGAAUAAAUCGGAAUCUACUUUUUCGUGGGGGAUAACGUAGGGAAACUUACGCUAAUACCGCAUACGACCUACGGGUGAAAGCAGGGGAUCUUCGGACCUUGCGCGAUUGAAUGAGCCGAUGUCGGAUUAGCUAGUUGGCGGGGUAAAGGCCCACCAAGGCGACGAUCCGUAGCUGGUCUGAGAGGAUGAUCAGCCACACGGGACCUGAGACCCGUCCCGACUCCUACGGGAGGCAGCAGUGGGGAAUAUUGGACAAUGGGCGCAAGCCUGAUCCAGCCAUACCGCGUGGGUGAAGAAGGCCUUCGGGUUGUAAAGCCCUUUUGUUGGGAAAGAAAAGCAGCAGGUUAAUACCCCGCUGUUCUGACGGUACCCAAAGAAUAAGCACCGGCUAACUUCGUG